Molecule: non-coding RNA, 266 nt
Organism: Pimephales promelas (fathead minnow)
Lineage: Eukaryota; Metazoa; Chordata; Actinopteri; Cypriniformes; Leuciscidae
Source: RefSeq, a predicted model, not a curated record
CCUCCAUGUCCUCUCCCCCGGCCUCCUCUGAUUCUCACUCUUCUCACUCUUACUGCUCCUUCCAUUGUACUCCACACAGACAGCGUACCUGUGACUUAUUUAUAGUGCUUAGGCUGAUUGCAAAGUUAACUAAUUUUCUAAAACAGUUUUCACAUGUGAAAGUGAGCCAGACAGUUGGCAAAAUAGUGUUAAUGAUAGCCAUACAUGUGUAUAAUUUUGCUAGGAGUGUGUUGGAAAUUUGGUAAUUGAGUGUAAGCAGUGAGUUG